Molecule: long non-coding RNA, 1116 nt
Filed under: Heterocephalus glaber (naked mole-rat)
Lineage: Eukaryota; Metazoa; Chordata; Mammalia; Rodentia; Bathyergidae
Description: lncRNA (ENSHGLG00100051800.1)
Source: RNAcentral
UGGACUAAAGCACACACAGAUGUGCUGUGCAAAUGGCAGUGAAAUAUGCUAACUGCUCAGUCCCGUGCUAAUCAAGAAGCCAGUGACACACACACAGUGUAUUUUCUUGAGCAUCUCAUUCUGGGCUGGCCAAGGGCUGGAUCUUGUUUAACCUCGCACUGUGCCCAUCCUACAUGGUGCCAAACUUGGGGUCUUUGGGCAGGCAGGAGAUCAGGUGAAGAAUGGAUUGCAGAAUUGCUUCAAGUGGUAGAAGCUCAAUUCUUGUCUUGUUGAUUAUUCCCAGGAAUCUGUUGUGGGCAGUGGAAACGGCUGGGAUUUAUCUUCAGGAUAAUUGAGGGCAAAGGAUAAAAAAUUCCCAAGCUGGUUUAAUCAGAAAGAAGGACAAUGGGAAGGACCCAGUGGGAGCUUGGGGAACCUGUGGAGCUGGGCAUUGGCUGGCCUCAGUAGGUCUGCAGUCCCUGAUGAAUAAUGAGCUCUGAGCAAAGUAAACUUGGCACUAUGUCAGUGGUCUCCACAUAGCUCCCCUCAGAUUUUGGGGACUCUGUCUGCAUUAUCCUGUGAGACCCAGUAUGACAACUCAACCACAAUCUGAAGCAAUUAUGGCCACUGUAACAUGAGGACCAUAGAAAGGAAUGUGCUGCAUCACACACCGGUUCUCAGACUUUCUGCCUAGAGAUGACACCUUCCUAUGUGAUUGCUCAACUCCAGUGGUAGGGACAGAAUAAUACAGUCCUGCCAGGUGCUUGGAGGAAGAGCAAGCAUCCCUAGUGACAUGGAGGACACAACAAUUCACCUGGCCCCCACAGCAGAUAAAGAAACUGAGGCUCAGAGAGGAGAAAUUAUUCAUCCCUGGCCCCUCAAUAAGCUCCAGCUCCUAAAAGCCACCCUUGUUUCUUCUGCCCAUUGCCUGGGACACAGUGACAUGUGGUUGCUGAAUUGAGAGAAAUCUGAUUGAUUUGAGUUGAGCAAUUUUCCUCCACCAUGAUACUUCUGUCUUGGAGCCAGCUAAAACAGACUGAACUCUCUGAAACUGUGAGGCAAAAUAAAGCUCUCCUCCUUCAAGCUGUGGGUGUUGCGUACUUUGUCCCAAUGGGAAAGUGACUACUACAGUCUUCA